CGAAGGGUGCAAGCGUUACUCGGAAUUACUGGGCGUAAAGCGUGCGUAGGUGGUUUGUUAAGUCUGAUGUGAAAGCCCUGGGCUCAACCUGGGAAUGGCAUUGGAUACUGGCGAGCUAGAGUGCGGUAGAGGGCAGUGGAAUUCCCGGUGUAGCAGUGAAAUGCGUAGAGAUCGGGAGGAACAUCUGUGGCGAAGGCGACUGCCUGGACCAGCACUGACACUGAGGCACGAAAGCGUGGGGAGCAAACAGGAUUAGAUACCCUGGUAGUCCACGCCCUAAACGAUGCGAACUGGAUGUUGGGAGCAACUAGGCUCUCAGUAUCGAAGCUAACGCGUUAAGUUCGCCGCCUGGGGAGUACGGUCGCAAGACUG
RNAcentral lists this ribosomal RNA (372 nucleotides) under uncultured organism. Its description in RNAcentral is "bacterial SSU rRNA". It matches the Rfam family "Bacterial small subunit ribosomal RNA", at positions 526 to 896 of the family's 1533-position model. The record is from RNAcentral.